UGCCUGCAACUGUGUGUGUGUGUGUGUGUGUGACUGUCUAACUGUGUGUAUGACUGUCUCACACACACACACACACACAGUUGCAGGCAGA
This 91-nucleotide microRNA precursor is filed under the name Pelobates cultripes (western spadefoot toad). Lineage: Eukaryota; Metazoa; Chordata; Amphibia; Anura; Pelobatidae. The record is from RNAcentral.